UGCAGACCGUUUUGGAGGAGGGUGUCUUUUGUUGGGAUUACAUUUUUUAGAGAGGGUAGGGGACCCCCAGCUGAGAGCGGGAUGCCGUCCGCAUGAAGCGGGUAGCAACAGUGAGGGUAGUUGGGCAGGCCAUACUGGCUGAUGCAUGAACAUGAGGCAGGUGGUGACUUGCUAAGGAAGGUGAUUCCAAGAAGGAGACCAUAAAAACGAAAAAUGAGAGAGAUGAGGUUUUGAGAAAGGAAGGGGAGACAGCAUUGUGGGGGAACGGAGGAGUUUUUCUGAGAGUUUUGAGGAAAAGAGUAUUGGUUGAACUUGAGUCGGAAGCUAAGAACAGAGGAGCGUAGAGUUGCUGGGAAGAGCCAGAGACGCCUAGCUGGAGAAGAAGCUUUCAGGUAUGACUAUCACUCUUUUACAUCUCUUGUGAAUAUUUGAAUACUCAUUGAUCUGUUUAAGGUGGAUAAUGAAGGCCACCAGUCUGCUUGUUGAAGUAUGACCCUGCAUUUGUGUUUGCCAUUGUCCACUUUAACUUGCUUUGAUCCUACUGUGAUUAGGAAAUGCUUGAGAAUCAUGAGGGUGGUUGCAUUUGAUAUGGUUUACCCACCUGCUCAGAAGAUUCAUGGAUGAUUCAUGAAAUGGAUUUUCUGAGAUUUUUUUCUUUAUUUAUUCGUCUUCUUUCACGCUCUGUUUCUCUACUUCCCCUGUUUCUUGAUAUCCGUCCAUGGUACGCAUCCAUUUUCUCAUCCCUGCUCGAAAGAGAUCCUAGAAAAUCUGGAGUAGUUGUCAUGGCAGCAAAGCUCACCUCAUCAAGCAUCCUCCAUCACACCCAUUUUCCUCUCAUCCAUUCUCCACCCCACUCCCUCGUGUACAUGGAGUCUCACGAGUGCACGCUAUCCUUCACUCCUUCACAUACCCAUUAAAACCACUCACCCAAGCCUCCAUAUCCAUACAACCCAUACCUAUCCUUUAUGCUACUCAUAACUACGCUCUACCUAAUCCGGAUGUCUCACAUCCGGAAUUCUGUCCGGCCAACGUUCCACUCGGACGGAAAUUCUCACUCAUUCCACCUGGAUAUUCACAGCCGCCAUUACCAACAUUCCACCUUCUCCGGAUGUAUCACAUCCGGAAUUCUGCCCGACCAACGUUCUACCUUAUCCGGGUAUCUCACAUCCGGAAUUCUUCUCCGCCGACAUUCCACCCGGAUAUUCACAACCGUCAUUCUGUCCGGCCAACAUUCCACCUUCUUCAGAUGUAUCACAUCCGGAAUUCUGCCCCCCCCCAACGUUCUACCUUAUCCGGGUAUCUCACAUCCGGAAUUCUUCUCCGCCGACAUUCCACCCUGAUAUUCACAGCCGCCAUUCUGUCCGACCAACAUUCCACCUUCUCCGGAUGUCUCAUAGCCGCCAUUCUGCCCGGCCAACAUUCUACCUUAUUUGGAUGUCUCACAUCCGGAUCUGAAGGUCAAUUUCUUUCCACCUCGUGACCUUAAGCAUGUCCACCUGUGCAUGGCCGCCUUCCCCAAGUCCAACUGUGUAAAUGUUUUCUCUAAUUCAGGUUAUUUCAAAAUAAUUUCAAAUCAUCAAAAUUUUCUAUCCUUCAUCCUUAGCAUUUUUCUUUAGGUUUCAAAAGUCCACUUUUCAGUAUGACUUUGCUGCCAUUUUUUUCUUUCUGGCAG
RNAcentral lists this long non-coding RNA (1672 nucleotides) under Vitis vinifera (wine grape). RNAcentral's name for it is "long non-coding RNA (VVIN_LNC008251)". The record is from RNAcentral. Lineage: Eukaryota; Viridiplantae; Streptophyta; Magnoliopsida; Vitales; Vitaceae.